GAUGAAGAACGUAGUGAAAUGCGAUACGUAAUGUGAAUUGCAGAAUUCAGUGAAUCAUCGAGUCUUUGAACGCACAUUGCGCCCCCUGGUAUUCCGGGGGGCAUGCCUGUCCGAGCGUCAUUGCUGCCCUCAAGCACGGCUUGUGUGUUGGGCCUCCGUCCUCCUCCCGGGGGACGGGCCCGAAAGGCAGCGGCGGCACCGCGUCCGGUCCUCGAGCGUAUGGGGCUUCGUCACCCGCUCUUGUNNNNNCGGCCGGCGCUUGCCGACACAUCAAUCUUUUUUCCAGGUUGACCUCGGAUCAGGUAGGGAUACCCGCUGAACUUAAGCAUAUCAAUAAGCGGAGGA
RNAcentral lists this unclassified non-coding RNA (345 nucleotides) under soil metagenome. RNAcentral describes it as "partial contains 5.8S ribosomal RNA, internal transcribed spacer 2, and large subunit ribosomal RNA". The stretch from base 1 to 120 matches the Rfam family "5.8S ribosomal RNA", at positions 35 to 154 of the family's 154-position model. The record is from RNAcentral.